This 2342-nucleotide long non-coding RNA is filed under the name Mus musculus (house mouse). RNAcentral's name for it is "long non-coding RNA chr2:21670026-21672368". The record is from RNAcentral. Lineage: Eukaryota; Metazoa; Chordata; Mammalia; Rodentia; Muridae.
GGGUUUAGAGUACUUGGAAUGCCUCAUUAGCAUGGGGAAGCAUUUCAGGAAACUCAGGCACUGCCUGAACAGGUUUUAUCAGGAAAAAGGAAAUUGAUCCUAUAAUCUAAUUGAGGCUACAUGGCAUUCCUCAGGUAAAGCUGAGGCAUAUGUGUGGGCUUCGGAUUUCUCAGAGAAGGCCAGAGAAGGAGAAGUCCCACUAAUUAAGGGACUCCUCCAUUAUGCACCAAGCCCCAAAAGACUAUGUGGUCAAUGGUAGACUGACUUUAAUUAGAGUUUUCCCACAAAUUGUAACAUCAAUAAUCUUUCACAUAUUACAACUCAAGUUUUUAGAUAAAAUUCUAACUGAAAUCAACUUACAAGUAGAGAUACUUCUAGAUGCAUCCCUUCCUCCAAAAAUUCUAAUGGCUCUUCUGGGGGGCUGUGGCAGUCUGAAUAGGUAUGGACCCCAUAGACUCCUGUGCUUGAAUGCUUGGUCCAUAAGAAGUAGCACUUUUAGGAGGAGUGGCCUUGUUGGAGUAGGUGUGGCCUUGAUGGAAGAAGUAUGUCAUUGUGGGGGUGGUCUCAUAUGGUCAAGCUAUGCCCAGAGUAGCACACAGUCUCCUUCUGUUGCCUUCAGAUCAAGAUGUAGAACUUUCAGCUCUUUCUCCAGUACCAUGUCUGCCUGCACAGUGCCAUGUGUCCCACCAAAAUGAUAAUGAGCCAAACCUCUGAAACUGUAAGCCAGUCCCAAAUUAAAUGUUUUCCUUUAUAAGAGUUGCCAUAGUCAUGGUAUCUUUUCACAGCAAUGACACUCUAACUAGGACAGGGACCUAUCUGCCAAAUUCUCCCCUAGCCACUUUACCUGGCUCUGUAUCUUCUGAGGUUGGCUUUUGCAAGAUGAUUUUAUGGACAUAUUCUGUUUUUGUGUUUUCUCUUUUCCAGUUUUCUCUAAAUAGUACAUCUUCUUUAAUGGUUUGUGACAGUUUAGAAAUACUUUUUAGACCUUGACACUUAAUGUGAAAUUUAUCUUGAAUGAUCUUAAUUAAAGUUUAUCUGCCUGCUGAUGCCGGUUCUGGUGUUGUCAUUCACCAUAUGUACUCACAGGGCUUCCCUACCCACACUGGCCAUCUCUGCGUCCAGUGCCCUCAUGGAUUGUAUCAGUUUAUGAUCAUGAGAAUGGGGAGACCCACACAAUUUAUGGGAUAAGAGGCAUAAGACCGUGUUUCUGUGAAGUAUAGACAUUACUAUUAGAUAUUUAGAGACACAAUGCAAAAUCUGGCAGAGAGGUUGCUUGCUCUUCUAUGUGUGUAAUCUCAGUGAUUGUCCCAUCCUUAAGUGGCCAAGUUCAUAUUGUUUCCAGUACCAUCUCUAGGUUUAGGGACUGCUAUGGUCUGAAUGUGUCUAUCUUUUCAACCUGUUAGAAUAUAGUGUCUUUCUCCAAGUGAUUAGGUGACAAGACUGAAUUCUUAUGAAUAUGGUUGGUACCCUUACAAAAUCAUCCUCAAAAUGACCCCUCACCCCUUUUGCCAUGUGAGGUUGAAGAUAGAAGGCUAUCUACAGUUAGGUAGGUCCACCACCAGAAGCAAUCCUUCCAGUGCCUUGAUCUUGGAACUGUGAGAAAUAAACAGUUUAACAGACAUCCAACAUUUGACAUUUUUGUUAUAGCAUCUCAGACAAACACAAAACAAAUAUGACCAAUUCAGAUGCUGACCCAACUAUGUAUCAUCCUAAUCCAAGAAUGAUCACAUAUGUGUUUCUGUAACCAGUAUCUGCCUCUCAGCAUGUUUUCCAACAUGUGAGAAAGUGUGGUGGUGGUGAUCCUGUUGCUGCUGGAUGGUCUUGUCCACUUCUCAGUAUGACCGUCAGGCAGCUUGCACACAAGGGUAUGAACAGAUUAAAUUGCUUAUAUUGAUUUCUCUCUAAACAGUUGUCCAUUUGCCCUUGGCAUAGCACUAUAUCUUAUCACAUAUGAUAAAAUCAAAGAUGAUCUGUGAAAAGGAUGUCAGAUAGGCUUGCUUCUAUUUGGGAAUGACUUCUAUUGUCAUUGACACAAAAAAGGCUCUGACUCAUUAGCUCUCCAUCUCCCCAUCUACUUAUAAUGUUAUUAUACGUAGCCUUUCCUACAUAAGACUCAUUUAAAACUAAUACUCUAAUGUAAAUUCUAUAAUGUUUGCCUUAAAAUGUAUCCUAGGAUCACAUAAUAUUCCAGACAUGUUAUUCCACCUGAAUAGAUUAAGAUUGAAUGUGUGUGUUGGGAUGUGGGAAGAUGACUUCCUUAAGGUAACUGAAAAGGAAAGAAGAGAACACACAUAUAAUUCAGGAGGUCAGUUGCUACUGUGAAGAAAGGAAAAUAUGACACC